RNAcentral lists this ribosomal RNA (710 nucleotides) under Faecalibacterium prausnitzii. RNAcentral describes it as "bacterial SSU rRNA". It matches the Rfam family "Bacterial small subunit ribosomal RNA", at positions 426 to 1162 of the family's 1533-position model. The record is from RNAcentral. Lineage: Bacteria; Bacillati; Bacillota; Clostridia; Eubacteriales; Oscillospiraceae.
UAAACUCCUGUUGUUGAGGAAGAUAAUGACGGUACUCAACAAGGAAGUGACGGCUAACUACGUGCCAGCAGCCGCGGUAAAACGUAGGUCACAAGCGUUGUCCGGAAUUACUGGGUGUAAAGGGAGCGCAGGCGGGAAGACAAGUUGGAAGUGAAAUCCAUGGGCUCAACCCAUGAACUGCUUUCAAAACUGUUUUUCUUGAGUAGUGCAGAGGUAGGCGGAAUUCCCGGUGUAGCGGUGGAAUGCGUAGAUAUCGGGAGGAACACCAGUGGCGAAGGCGGCCUACUGGGCACCAACUGACGCUGAGGCUCGAAAGUGUGGGUAGCAAACAGGAUUAGAUACCCUGGUAGUCCACACCGUAAACGAUGAUUACUAGGUGUUGGAGGAUUGACCCCUUCAGUGCCGCAGUUAACACAAUAAGUAAUCCACCUGGGGAGUACGACCGCAAGGUUGAAACUCAAAGGAAUUGACGGGGGCCCGCACAAGCAGUGGAGUAUGUGGUUUAAUUCGACGCAACGCGAAGAACCUUACCAAGUCUUGACAUCCUGCGACGGACAUGGAAACAUGUUUUUCCUUCGGAACGCAGAGACAGGUGGUGCAUGGUUGUCGUCAGCUCGUGUCGUGAGAUGUUGGGUUAAGUCCCGCAACGAGCGCAACCCUUAUGGUCAGUUACUACGCAAGAGGACUCUGGCCAGACUGCCGUUGACAAA